This 372-nucleotide ribosomal RNA is filed under the name uncultured prokaryote. RNAcentral's name for it is "bacterial SSU rRNA". It matches the Rfam family "Bacterial small subunit ribosomal RNA", at positions 524 to 896 of the family's 1533-position model. The record is from RNAcentral.
UACGGGGGGAGCGAGCGUUGUCCGGAUUUAUUGGGCGUAAAGGGCAUGUAGGUGGUCUUUUAAGUCAGUUGUUAAAACUAUCGGCUUAACCGGUAAUUGCAAUUGAUACUGGAGGACUUGAAUUUGAGAGGGGAUAGUGGAAUAUCAAGUGUAGCGGUGGAAUGCGUAGAUAUUUGAUAGAACACCUGAGGUGAAGACGACUAUCUGGCUCAUGAUUGACACUGAAAUGCGAAAGCAUGGGGAGCAAACAGGAUUAGAUACCCUGGUAGUCCAUGCCGUAAACGAUGGGAACUAGGUGUCUGGGGACUAACCCCUUGGGCGCCGUAGCUAACGCGUUAAGUUCCCCGCCUGGGGAGUACGAUCGCAAGGUUG